This is a long non-coding RNA of Poeciliopsis prolifica (blackstripe livebearer), 515 nucleotides long. RefSeq lists it as uncharacterized. The transcript has 4 exons. Lineage: Eukaryota; Metazoa; Chordata; Actinopteri; Cyprinodontiformes; Poeciliidae. The record is from RefSeq and is a predicted model, not a curated record.
UUGAGUAACUUGCGCAGCGGUUUCAAGUUUUGCUGCUUUUCCUCAUGACUUCUUCAAAAUGAAAUAAUACCAGCAGUUUGGCAGUAAUUCAGCUUCGUUUUUCUGUUUACUCAUGUUCUCAUCUCACAUCUACCUCAUGACAAACUCUGCUUUGCCAAGGCAGCAUCAUGAGUACGCUCUCCAUCAGAAAAGGGACGGGCUCAUGAAAAACAUCACACAGAGUUCAAACGCACUCUGAAAGGGUUUGUCGUUUUACAAACCUCCCUUAUUUCCUUCAAAUGAGUCGCAUAACACGUCAGCAAAAGUGGCAGAAGACUAUCACCGAAGCUUUACAGGGGAUCCAGGCCUAAGUUGUGGAAGUGUUUUUGUAAGGUGUUUCAAGGAAACUCUGCUUGCUGGUUACCUGCAGCGAUGGAAGCCAGACGAACGUAGUCGGAGCCCCUCUCCUCUGGCUCAUAGGGGUAGCUCUCCACCAGACUCAGUCCUGGCAAAGGCAAGAAAAGCAAUUGAAUAUC